RNAcentral lists this ribosomal RNA (869 nucleotides) under uncultured Oxalobacteraceae bacterium. RNAcentral describes it as "bacterial SSU rRNA". It matches the Rfam family "Bacterial small subunit ribosomal RNA", at positions 1 to 870 of the family's 1533-position model. The record is from RNAcentral. Lineage: Bacteria; Pseudomonadati; Pseudomonadota; Betaproteobacteria; Burkholderiales; Oxalobacteraceae.
AUUAGAGUUUGAUCCUGGCUCAGAUUGAACGCUGGCGGCAUGCUUUACACAUGCAAGUCGAACGGCAGCGCGGGCUUCGGCCUGGCGGCGAGUGGCGAACGAGUGAGUAAUAUAUCGGAACGUACCCAGAAGUGGGGGAUAACGUAGCGAAAGUUACGCUAAUACCGCAUACGAUCUACGGAUGAAAGCAGGGGAUCGCAAGACCUUGUGCUUUUGGAGCGGCCGAUAUCUGAUUAGCUAGUUAGUGAGGUAAAGGCUCACCAAGGCGACGAUCAGUAGCUGGUCUGAGAGGACGACCAGCCACACUGGAACUGAGACACGGUCCAGACUCCUACGGGAGGCAGCAGUGGGGAAUUUUGGACAAUGGGCGCAAGCCUGAUCCAGCAAUGCCGCGUGAGUGAAGAAGGCCUUCGGGUUGUAAAGCUCUUUUGUCAGGGAAGAAACGGCCGUGGCUAAUAUCCAUGGCUAAUGACGGUACCUGAAGAAUAAGCACCGGCUAACUACGUGCCAGCAGCCGCGGUAAUACGUAGGGUGCAAGCGUUAAUCGGAAUUACUGGGCGUAAAGCGUGCGCAGGCGGUUUUGUAAGUCUGAUGUGAAAUCCCCGGGCUCAACCUGGGAAUUGCAUUGGAGACUGCAAGGCUGGAGUCUGGCAGAGGGGGGUAGAAUUCCACGUGUAGCAGUGAAAUGCGUAGAGAUGUGGAGGAACACCGAUGGCGAAGGCAGCCCCCUGGGUCAAGACUGACGCUCAUGCACGAAAGCGUGGGGAGCAAACAGGAUUAGAUACCCUGGUAGUCCACGCCCUAAACGAUGUCUACUAGUUGUCGGGUUUUAAUUAACUUGGUAACGCAGCUAACGCGUGAAGUUGACC